This 24-nucleotide non-coding RNA is filed under the name Drosophila melanogaster (fruit fly). The record is from RNAcentral. Lineage: Eukaryota; Metazoa; Arthropoda; Insecta; Diptera; Drosophilidae.
UUCGGAAGCUAAGAUCGGACCCGA